RNAcentral lists this ribosomal RNA (460 nucleotides) under uncultured Rhodocyclaceae bacterium. RNAcentral describes it as "bacterial SSU rRNA". It matches the Rfam family "Bacterial small subunit ribosomal RNA", at positions 923 to 1382 of the family's 1533-position model. The record is from RNAcentral. Lineage: Bacteria; Pseudomonadati; Pseudomonadota; Betaproteobacteria; Rhodocyclales; Rhodocyclaceae.
GCACAAGCGGUGGAUGAUGUGGAUUAAUUCGAUGACAACGCGAAAACCUUACCUACCCUUGACAUGUCCGGAAUCCCGAAGAGAUUUGGGAGUGCUCGCAAGAGAACCGGAACACAGGUGCUGCAUGGCUGUCGUCAGCUCGUGUCGUGAGAUGUUGGGUUAAGUCCCGCAACGAGCGCAACCCUUGUCAUUAGUUGCCAUCAUUUGGUUGGGCACUCUAAUGAGACUGCCGGUGACAAACCGGAGGAAGGUGGGGAUGACGUCAAGUCCUCAUGGCCCUUAUGGGUAGGGCUUCACACGUCAUACAAUGGUCGGUACAGAGGGUUGCCAACCCGCGAGGGGGAGCUAAUCCCACAAAGCCGAUCGUAGUCCGGAUCGCAGUCUGCAACUCGACUGCGUGAAGUCGGAAUCGCUAGUAAUCGUGGAUCAGAAUGUCACGGUGAAUACGUUCCCGGGUCUU